RNAcentral lists this long non-coding RNA (629 nucleotides) under Vulpes vulpes (red fox). RNAcentral describes it as "lncRNA (ENSVVUG00000007106.1)". The record is from RNAcentral. Lineage: Eukaryota; Metazoa; Chordata; Mammalia; Carnivora; Canidae.
AUGGAUGACCAUUUGGAAUUCUCAGAUUUUUUUAGGAGCUCUGUUCUAGAACUUAGUGGCAAAGGGAGAACUGGUCUUCUGUCACUUUGUCACUGUCCUGUAGUCUGCCUCCUUUCCCCUCUUAGGCUCCUUGUGGUAGCAUGUCCUCCUUGCAAGCUAUUUCUUGACCACCUCUUGGGCCUGAGGCCCCUUGGUCAUUCUGGCAUUUUAUGAUAGAGAAUACAUUGAGUUUGGCUCAUGGAAAGAAUAUGAGGUAAUUGAUCACACGUUGCCUAUAAAUUAUGAACUAUAGGUAUACAAAGCAGAGUAUUGUAAUGUAUCUAAUAUGGGGUCUCAUGUCCCAACCUUUUCAAGAGCUGUUUUUCUAUAUAAGAUUUUAGGAUAGGUUUUUUUUCUCUCUUGGUGGCUGGCUAUAGUUAAUGUGGUGAGGAACUUUAUUUUCUUUCAUUGCUUGUAUAUGUUUAAGACAAAACUGUUCCUUCACAUUGUUACCUGGUUAUUUUUUACUUUAUUUAUUUAUUUAUUUAUUUAUUUAUUUAUUUAGUUAGUUAGUUAGUUAGUUAGUUAGUUAGUUAGUUAGUUAGUUCACUCUUUCCCCGAUGUGGGGCUUGAUUGAACUCAUGACCCCG